CGUCUCUUCUGGAAGCCCCCCUGCAGCAAUACUCCUGGGAGUGGAAAAGGAAGUGGUCAGAGGUAGGGGGAUCACAGCUCCCAUCUCCCCAGCUUCCCACCUGGCAGAGGGCGCUCUCUGCCUCCGCCCUCUCUUCCUCCCUCUGUGUCCGGAUGGCCUCGGUUUCUGCCUGCUGUUCCGUCAGCCUCAUUUCCAGCUCCAUUUUCUCCCUCUCUAGGCUCUCCAGAGCCUUUCCCAGUUCCUGCUGGUGCCGGGAGCGCUCUUUCUCCUGGUCGUGUGAAGGACUCACGGUUAGAACCCAGUGGGUAAGGACAGGAGGCAAAAGGAGGGCUGGAGCAGAGAAGGUCUCAGCUGGGUGUCCUUGGUACCUCUCUCAGCCUGUCUCCCCAUCGACAAAGUGAGGUUGCUAACUCUUGGCUUAUCUGUCUCACCAAAUUGUAUGAGAAUCAAAUAAGAGUUGUAAAAAAUCAAAUGAUAAAAUACACAAGAAAGCAUUUUCUAAAGUGCAAUUGUCCCUAACAUAGGCUACAGAUAAUGUUAUUUUCAAGCAACCACACCACUUAUCGUUGACGGUUGUAACAAUGAACUGAGGUGGCAGAUUGGUUCUCUGCUGUCCACUCUGCCCUGUCCAAGGUGGUAGAGUUAGCCUCCCAAAAAGUCAGGCUGAGCCUAGCUAGGAUGUCUCCUGCUAUACAAGGGCAUGAGGACAGGGCAUCCUGGUCCUCCUGGAGGUCAGCCAGUGACCAAAGCCUUCCCCAAUCCCCCAGACUAAGCCGGCACCCUCUCUUAGCUUCUCAGGAUAGUUGGUGAAGGGCUCUAGAGCCAGGCUGCCUGGGUUACAGUCUUUAUUUAAUCCAACACCACUAGUGAGUGACCUGGGUUAAUUUCAAUCUCAUCUCUUGUUACUCAGUUUCCUCAUCUAUAAAAAUGGGCAUAACAAUUUGGGUUGCUUUAAGGACUGAGAUAAGUCUUUAUCACCUUUUAUCACCUUACUUAACACCUUUUAUCAUUAGCAUUAAGAGAGAAGUUCCCUGCACCUUUCCUUUAAAAUAUUUACAAGCUCUCAAGGUGCCUGGCUGGCUCAAUUGGUAGAGCAUGCAACUCUCAAUCUCAGGGUCGUGAGUUCAAGCCCCACGUUGGGCAUGUAGCCUACUAAAAAUAAAUUAAUAAAAAUAUUUACAUAUUUUUGCUCGAAUUAUGCAUUCAUUUAAUGGGAAUGCCUCUAGGGUUUCACCCCUUUCCAAUAUCAUCUUGUACAGCUUCCCCCUCACUGGCCACACUGACCUCCUUUCAGGACCUUGAGCACACUACACACUCUCAUACCUUUAAGGCCUUUCUUUCCUCAUGCUUUCCUGCUCCUUAGAACACCCCUGCCUGCCUCCCACACCAUUGUUCCUCACAGCUUAACUAAUGCUUCCCCAGAGAGGCCUUCCCAGACCACACACUCGAAACAGUUCUGUUGCUCUUAUAACUUGCUGUUAUAAGUUGCUAUUGCUCUUGCUGUUGCCCCUUUGCUGUUGCUCUUAUAACACCCAGCUCUUAUUCUUCAUGGAUCUUCCAUAAUAACUUACACACUUACAUAUUAACUUGUUUAAUACUUGUCUUGUCCUUUGAGGUUUUAAGCUCCAUAAGGAGAACCACGUCUACUUUGCUCUCCACUGUCUCCUCAACACUCCCCACACAGUAAACACUCAACAUUGCACGAAUGAAUCACAUUUCAGCUGCUGGACUGUUAAGAUGCCUAAGAAUAGCAAUCCAUAAUGCCACAGUUAUCAAAUGGCUAUGAACAUCAAAUCAUUCCCUCUGAUUUAGAAAGCCAGCUGUGAAAAUAUGAGAAAGAUGAAUUUUAAUAGUAAUAAGUGUUUAAAAAAAAAAAACUGGCCUAUUCACUCAAUUUGAUUAGAAGUGUGUUAUAGCUACCAAAAGAGCCAAUUCCAUGAUGUCCAGGAAGUAACAGGCUAGGGUUGCCAGUUAGGUUGUGGAUCAGAAUAUUCUGCACAUUGGGUCAUGAGUAACGUGUAACAUGUCUAGAGGAAAGCAAGCAUGUUGGUGAGGUAUUUCAAGCAAACCUAAGAUGUGAUUUGUUUCAUGUAAGAGAUUUUGGCUUGACAUAAGGAAUAAUUUUUCAAUAACUAGAUCUACCUAGAAAUGAAUGGGCAGCCAUUGGUGGAAUACAACAGAAGCUAAGUGACCAUAUGAAAGGGAUACUGCAGGAAUGACCACAGCAUAAAUGGUUAAGAGAUGGUUAAUUCCUGUUCUACUGCUUAUUAGCCAUGUGACCUUGAGUGAUUUCUCUACAUCUCAAUUUCCUCACUAGCUAGUAGUAGGUAGGCUAUCUGAAAUAAUGUAAAUAGCAUUUAGCAAGGCAUGUGGCAUGGGGAAGUGGUUGAUGAGUGUCCACUAUCACUACAAUUAAAGGGGGUACAUGCACUAGGUGAAAGUAUGAAGACUAGAGCCUCUAAGAGUUUUUCCAAUUGUUAGGAUUCCAGGAGAAGGCAGUCAUAGUUAAAACUAACAGACUCUCAGGGGUGCCUGGCUGGCUCAGUUGGUAGAGCAUGUGACUCUUGAUCUCGGGGUUGUGAGUUCAACCCCCCACAUUAGGUGUAGAGCUUACAAUCAAUCAAUCAAUCAAUCAAUCAAUCAAACUAACAGACCCCCAAGAGUUAUGAGAGCAGUCAACCUUUUCAAUCAGUAGGGAGAUCAUAAAGUCAGAUGAUCAGAAUUCAGGGGCAUUGUCUGAAUGCGAGGAAAGGAAAAAAUGGAACACGCCCUCCCAUGACUCAGGUAUGGCCAUGAGAUGGUCAAUCCUUCCAGAGAAGCCUAGAUUAUGUCAGGUGGUUACUCAUUAUUUUGGAACUUUAUUGCAUCUUUCACUUGGAGGAUUUUCCCUGGGUGAUAUGCCUAAUUCUUGCUGGGGAAAGUGCCUUCUGGACACUGUUCAACAAAUAAUUAAAUUACUUACUUUAGGCAUAUAAUUUCAAAACAAGCAAACUUCUAGCUACCAUCUUGCCAACAAGUCUGCCUUGUAAUAACAGUCAAAUCACAAAUACACACAAGGCACAAAUCAACUUCUAUUUUCAGAGACCUGAAAAACAAGAUUUCUGAACCUUCCAGCUGUAAAAUGGCAAAAAAUACUGAUAAAAUAUUAAAUAUAUGUUGUGGGUUUUUUUUUCAAUGUUUAUUUAUUUAUUUUGAGAGAGAUAGAGACAGUGCAAACAGGGAAAGGGCAGAGAGAGAGGGACAGAGAAUCCCAAGCAGGCCUUGGCCAUCAGCACAGAACCCAGUGCAGGGCUUGAUCUCAGGAACCAUGGCAUCAUGACCUGAGUUGAAACUAAGAGUCAGACACUUAACUGACUGAGUCAUCCAGACGCCCCAGUGUACGUUUUAAUGUAUAAGUGAGCCAGCAGGAAAAUAAUGAAAAUUUCACAGGAGUCAAAAUCAAAGCAAGACUUGUGCUUUGUAAAUGGUAAAUGAGUACAGACUGGCUUUCCACUGGAGGUAUCUGCUAAACCUAAUAACUCUGAAAUUCAUUUUAAUGCUACGUGGGAAAAAGAAAACAGAAGACAGGGGUGGGGAGUCCAAUAGAAGAUUCCCACAUAAAACUGGACCUCCAACAGGCUAAUCAGGGGUCAAUAAACGAUGGCACAUGAGCAAAAUCUGGCCAGCCUCCUGUUGCUGUAUGGCCUGUGAACUAACAGUGGUUUUAAUACUUUUAAUGGUUGAAAAGGAGCAAAAAAAAAAAGAGAGAGAGAGAGAGAUUUUUGUGACAUGUGAAAAUUAUGUGAAAUUAAAAUUUCAGUGUCCACACUUAAAGUUUUAUUUGAACAUAGACAUGCUCAUUUGUUUACAUGGUAUCUCUGGCUACUUUUGUACUACAAUAGCAGAGGUGAAUAAUUACGACAGAGACCAUAAGGUCCACAAAACCUAAUAUGUGGCCCUUUACAAAAAAACCUUGCCUAUCCCUGGGCUAUAGUACCCUCAGUAGAAGGAUAAACUUGAGAGAAAGAAGAAGGAAAGAGAGAAAUGGGGAAGAGAAAGGGACAGAAAGUAGGGGGAGAGAAAACAAAACAAAAAAAAUCCCACAGAAGGAAAUAGCAAGAACAUUUAUUUGCUUCAACUUUUACACAGGAUUAAAAAAAAAAAACUCUCCAUUGAGAAGUCAACCACAACCUGGUCUUCAUGUGGGCAUAGGGCUUGAAUGUGACCCCAAAUACUUUCAACAUAAAUUUUAUUUCACUUCAUUUUAAAAUUUUAUUUUGAGAUGGUUCUGGGAUGAUAGAACCUUUAAUCCAACACUAUUAGUACAAGUGACCUCAGUUAAUUUCUACCAUAUUUCUGUGCCUCAGUUUCCUCAUCUAUAAAAAUGGGGAUAACAACAGUGUCCUCCUCUUCUGCUAGGAAAUUCCUAACAGAAGCAGAAGCAAAUUCUCUGAAGAAAAACUCUUCCGCCUUAGGCCAAAAGGAUUCCCACAGAAAAUUUUCUAAAGAAUGUGAGCUCAGAGUCAAGAAUCAUAAAACACAGGAGUGAGAACCAAUGGAAAAAACAUGUAACAGAGUCAGGCUCGAAAAGAUUUUAUUUUUAUUUUAUUUUUAAUUUUUUUUAAUUAAUUUAUUUUAUUUAAUUUUGAGAGAGAGAGAGCAAGUGCAUGAGCAGGGGAGGAGCAGAGAGAGAGAGAAUCCCAAGAAGACUCCGCACUAUCAGUGCAGAACUUGAUGUGGAGCUUGAUCCCACUAACCAUGAAAUCAUGACCUGAGCUGAAAUCAGGAGUUGGGUGCUUAACCGAAUGAGUCACUCAGGAGCCCCUGCCCGAAAUGACUUUAGUUAUUGGUGUUAUUAAAUAGCAUAAAAAUAUGUUUCAUGUGUUUAAAGAAUAAAAGAGAGGAUGAAAAUAUAAAUUAAGGAAAGAAACUAAAAUAUGACCAAGAAGAUUUGAAAAAAAAAAAAACUGAAUAGAAUGUCUAGAAAUAAAAAAAUUUAGGGGCGCCUGGGUGGCUCAGUCAGUUGAGCGUCUGACUUCAGCCAGGUCACGAUCUCGCGGUCCGUGAGUUCGAGCCCCACGUCGGGCUCUGGGCUGAUGGCUCGGAGCCUGGAGCCUGUUUCCGAUUCUGUGUCUCCCUCUCUCUCUGCCCCUCCCCCGCUCAUGCUCUGUCUCUCUCUGUCCCAAAAAUAAAUAAACUUUGAAAAAAAAAAUUUAAUAAGUGAAAUAUAAAACUUGGUGAAUAGACUACAUAGCAGAUUAGACACAGCUGAAAGGGAGUUAGUGAGUAGAAGACAGAUCUGAAAAAUCAUCUACAAUACAGUAUAGAAAAAGAAAAAUGAAUGUAGAAAAUGUAAUAGUCAAGAUACAUGGAAAAUACAGUAAGAAGGUCUGACAAACAACUAAUCAGGGUCUUCUUGACACAAACAAUAGAAUAAUGCAUAUGCUGAGAGAAAAUAACUAUCAUCCUAGAAUUUUAUACCCAAUGAAACUAUCUUUCAAGAAUAAAAGUAAAAUAGAAAUAUUUUCAGACAAUUAAUUACCAACAGACCCUCACCAAAGAAAUUCUAUUUCAAGGAGGAAAAUAAAUCCAAAUAGAAUGUCUGAUAUGCAAGAAGGGAUGAUGAGUGAAAAUCAUUUGUAAUUUUUUCAGUGUAUCUAAACAAAUGUUCAUGGUUGAAAACAAGUCAAAAUAAUUUGUGGUGUUAACAAACUAGUUAAAACAAAACACAUUGAAUAAAACAGUACAUAGGUCAGGAGGAGUGAAUGCAGGCCUUGUGUCAUUCAGGAAAAUGGUAAACAUACUGAUUAACUUAUGAUUUUAUUAAGUAUGUAUUUUUAAAAAUUUUUUAAUGUUUUUGUUUUUUAAUUUAUUUUUGACAAAGAGAGAGAGCAUGAGCAGGGGAGAGGCAGAGAGAGAGACAGAAACACAGAAUCUGAAGCAGGCUCCAGGCUCUGAGCUGUCAGUACAGAGCCCGAUGUGGGGCUUGAAUUCGUGAACCGCAAGAUUAUGACCUGAGCCGAAGUCAGCUGCUUAACCCACUGACCCACCCAGGCGCCCCUAUUAAGUAUGUAUUUUUAAAUAUUAAAGGAAACAACUAAAAUUUUUUUAAAAAUAGAGAACAGACCACCCAAAGUAGUAGAGAGAGAAAAAGAACCCAGAAAAGAAUACAACUUAAUCAUCCAAUUGAACUCCCUAAAAGAAGUUAAGAAAGGUGACCUCCCUGCCCCAAAAGAUAUAAAAAGGCAGGAAAAAUAGCAUCAGAUAGUAGAAAUAAAUCCAAAUAUACCUAUAGUCACAAUAAAAGCAAAUAGACUAAGUUAUAUAAUUAAAAGAUAAAAGAAAUACAGUUCUGAAUUAGACAAGAAGGGGUCCAAGGCAUUCCUCUGCUCCCUUUACAUCCUGGGGCCAGUAUAACAAUCCUAAAUCCCAGGAUCCAUGUUUAAUUCUCUGUACAUACUCAAACAACAACAAUAAUAGUUAACACAAAUAUAGAGCUUACUACAUACAUGUCAGGAAUUGUUCUUAGUGUUUUUCAUAUAUUGCUCAAUUACUAGCUAGAAGUUGGAUUUUACACCAUGGGACCAGGCUAGUCCUGCUCAGAUUUCACUCUUAUAAGCAGCAAUAUCUGUCCCAAGAGUCAAUGGGUGGAGCACUCACUGAAGGGAGGCCACAUCUGCCUCUCCUGUCCCCAGCCACAUCCAUGACCUACCCAUUUCUCCUGGAGCUGGUUCACCUCCUCCUCAUGGGCUGACUUCUGCUGCUGCAGGGCAGUGUGCCCCUCUUGCUCAGCCUGGGCCAGCUGUCUGGCUGCGUUCUCCCGCUCCUGCUCUGCCCGGCUCCGUUCAGUGUCCAGUUCCAGCUUCAGGCACCUCACUUCCCCUAAGAUGCCAGGGACAGGUAUCUCUCGCUGGGCCUCUGCCCUCUUCCCCUCUCCCUUCUCCCCAGAUCUCAUAAACAACUUCCGUCCGAGAAGCCCUGAGCCUGGCUGGAGGAGGACCUCUGAGCUUCCCAUUUGCUUCCAGGCUUUCAAGAUCUCCAUGGAAUGAAGAGUCCCCAUCCCAGUUGCGGGGACUGGGGGGGGGGGGAGGAGAGGAGGGGUCUCACCUUGAAUUACUUCCUUGGCUCGAGUGACAGUUUGAAUCUGGACCUCCAGCUGUCCCUUGGUGACCUCUAUCAGAGAAUUUUGUUGUUGGGCCUCGAACAGAUUGCUCUCCAGUUGCUCCUUGGCUGAGCUGUCAGGUUCAGGAAUAAGGAAGAGUUCUUACCCAUCCAGCCCCUUAACCUUCCUUAAGAGGAGUUGGAUUCUAAGUACUGACUACCCAGAGAAAUUAGGCGGCAAUUACAAAUUCAUAACUCAUUUAGGACCCGUUUACUUUGGGCAGGGAGCUUAGGUUGGCUACUCCUUGCCUUGCAGAACUCUCUCUGUCCUUGGCUGAACUGCGUGUGGGCCCUACCUGAGCCCUAGUAGUUGUUCAGAGAGGUCCUGCCGGUCUCGCUCCACAGCCUGCAGCCGCACCUCUAGGCUUGCUCUCUCCCGUACUAGGGCCUCCUUCUCCUGCACUUCCCGAGCAAGCACUUCGUCCUGUCGCUUCAUCUCCUGAUGCAGCUGCUCCAGCUGAGCGAAGGCUGCCUCCUGCUGAUGGUGAGCCUGAGAGGGAGAAAUCCGGGAGAUUACAGGGCAGAGGCAGGAUCCCCCGGGGCUGCUAUCACCAGAUUGGGGCAUUGGCCCUUCAGAGACUCUGGACCCAGCUCUGUGAGUCCUGAGCAUUGCCCACUCAUAUAAGUGGCAUUUAUCUACUUCCCUCAUCAACCUGUAGAACUCCGAGCCCAGGAAGCAUGUUCUCCUUUGUGCAAGACCCGGGGUUAGGGCUGCAAGAGAACUACCUCUAAGGAGCUUUUAGUCUUUAGAAUUAAAACAUGUAUAUCAUCAGGAAGAAAGCAAUCAGUCUCUGAGAAAGGGAUUCUGGGAAGGAAAAUUUGUAUCAUUUUAGGGCAGUGAGAAGUUUGGUAGAGGCAAAAGAUGAUCUUUGAGCUGUGUCAUUGGUUCAGAAAAAAUUUACUGAGCCGCUGCUAUGUGCUGGACAUUGUGCUAAAAGAUGGAGGAAUAAAAACAACUAAGACACAGCCUUGCCUUCAAGGAGCUUUUGGUCUAAUGCUGGAGACUGUAAACAGAUAAUUAUAAUACAGUGAGAAGGCUGUGGCGGCUGGAACAUGCAGGAGGUACUGUUAGAGCAUCCAGGAAAAGGCAUCUAAUUCAAACUGGAAAGUGUGAAGUAGUAAGGAAUCUGAAGGAUUCUUAUGGGAAUUGUUCAAAAAAAAAAUCUUUUUUAACGUUUACUUAUUAUUGAGAGACAAAGAGACACAGAGUGUGAGCAGGGGAGGGGCAGAGAGAGGGAAGACACAGAAUCUGAAGUAGGUUCCAGGCUCUGAGCUGUCAGCACAGAGCCUGACACGGGGCUUGAACUCACGAACUGUGAGAUCACUAUCUGAGCCGAAGUCAGUCGCCUAACCAACUGAGCCACCCAGGCGCCCCUGGGAAUUGUUUUAAAAAAAGGGAAGAUAUGGGGCGCCUGGGUGGCUCAGUCUGUUAAGUUUCCGACUUCGGCUCAGGUCAUGAUCUCGCAGUCCAUGAGUUUGAGCCCCGCAUCGGGCUCUGUGCUGACAGCUCAGAGCCUGGAGCAUGUUUCAGAUUCUGUGUCUCCCUCUCUCUCUCUCACCCUCCCCAGUUCAUGCUCUGUCUCCCUCUGUCUCAAAAAUAAUAAAAAUAAAAGGUUAAAAAAAAAAAAAGGGAAGAUGUACCUGAAACCAGUAACACUGGUCACUUUUAGGAAGUAAGACCUUUUCACUUCCUGAAUCAUUUCUGUUGAGUUUUCAUUUUCUACAUUGAGUACGUGUGGUAUCUUAAUGGGAUGUAUCAGUUUUGUGUUCUCACCUCGCUUAAUUUCUCUUGAAUUUCUUCUUUCUCUUCCUGGAUGCCCCUGAGAUCUGCCUGCAGCUCAGCCCCAGUCUCCUCUGCUUUCUGCAGCUGAACCUCCAGGUGAGUGUUCUUCUCCUGCAGGGAGUCCCUACUCCUCUCGGCUUCUGCCAGGCCCAACUGCAAAGUGCUUCUUGCCUGCUCAGCUGCUUCCAUUCUGCUGCACAUAGAUUGGUUCUCCUGUUCCAACUACUGGUCAAAAGGGGAAAGGCAUCAAAGACAAAUGGUUACAGUUUAUAGACCAAGUGCUAAGACGGAAGUCCAAGUAAGACAUGAAUCUAUGACUCAUAGGAGAAACACAGGAGGGCUUGUAAGAGAGGGGGACUAUGCAUUCAUUUGGUCUGGUGCCUGUUUUCCAGGUACUAGAUGGGUUGAUGCUGGGGAUGGAGAUUAAAAAGGCAAAACCCCACUCUUAAAGAAUUCAGAAUAAAGGGAAUCUGGAACAUUUCUAGGGCUCAAGGGAAUAGGAGCAGUGAAGAGACAUGUUAACUUUGCAACCUAUAAGAAACACACUCUUUGAGAUGUAGGCUCUUUAGCAGAUCCUUUUCUCGAGAUUGCUAUUAUCUCACACAAUGGGAUUAAAAACUGAGUCUUCCUUCCAGAGGACACAGGCCUCCUUCCCAGCCCUGGAGAUUUUACCCUCCAGCCCAAAGGUGGUUCUGCUGUAGGUGUGGGAGCAGACUAUUUUUAACGGCUAAGCCCAGGCCUUAUAGUCUUUGCUGCCCUCUGUUCCGUCAAUGUUCCUUUUGCUCAUUUUAGGACCACAUUUGGGAACUGAUCCAUCUUGCACUGAUCCAUUAAGGACUCUUCCCUGUCAUGGGCAUGAGCUUUACCAGUCACUGGCUUGCCUUCUGUCAGGGCCCAGCCCUUACUCUGUGGAUCAGAGAAAUCUGUGCUCACCUGGAGAAGCUGCUGGUUCAGUCCAACUUUAUCUAAGGCCAAAGCCUCAUUUAAGGCACUGAGCUUUGCAGCUACAGCCCGAAGGUCGGCGACCUCUGCCUUCAGGCUGUUCUCAGAACUAGACAGCUCCGCAACACACCGUUCUGCCUAAAAACAAAGAGAGUUAAAGGGUUUCCGUGUUCACGUUUUCCCACCACGGUGAACAGCUCACAUCCCCAACA
This 10077-nucleotide long non-coding RNA is filed under the name Lynx pardinus (Iberian lynx). The stretch from base 1071 to 1143 matches the Rfam family "tRNA". The record is from RNAcentral. Lineage: Eukaryota; Metazoa; Chordata; Mammalia; Carnivora; Felidae.